UUUCGGGCAGGUUAGAUGCCUGCCCCACAUGCCAACCCCCAAGCAGAGAGACUGGAGUAUGUUACCUCGGAGUUAAAGUCUAACUCCUCUGCAGCACGGUGAGGUUCCAGAAUCACUCUCCUUGCAGUCAUAAAGCUAGGAAGUGCAAUCACCAGGCAUGUGGUCCUGACCUCAGUCUGAGGAUCCUUGGCCUAGAGUCAAGCAGUCGCUGCAGUCACCGAAACAGCCAAAUUAACUGUCUGCUUAGCCAUGGAUUAAAAUUCAUCCACAGAUCCAAGACAAACUGGUUUCUACAUACAUUUGAUGCAACUAAGUUUUAUUAUUUGUCUCCUUAUGGAAGAAUGCAGAAGACGUGCUCAGCUAUAUUGAUCUCUGAGGAAAUGUGGAUGAGUUCCUAUUUGCUCAACAUCUCAGUUCAGCCACUUUCUCUGAGUUUCUAGAAUGCAUUCAACAUCUCCUUGACUGCAGACACUGAGACACAUACAUACAAACCUCUGCAAGCAAGUCCAAACCAUGGAGUCUUAAUUCUGGAUCUAGACUGUACUUCCUCUUGUCAUAAAGAGAUCUUUCACUCCUCUCUCAUCAUUCACUCCCUCCCCACAUACGUUACUGUUUUUUGUCUGAGCCCAUUCAACCCUCUGCUUUGGGGAAAUAGUGAAUAAUCAAAUUAAGACAUUUUUCUUUUUCAAAAUGUAUGUUUUUGUUGAUUUGAUUUACAGUAUGAGCACAAAGAGCAGCUGGAUUGGCUUCAGUGAGGCAGAAGUAUCUUGGCAGCUGGGAAUGGUUUAAAAUACCAUUGCUGUGACAACGUGGUCAGUUCAUGACAUAGGAUUGCUGCUGUACCUAGUCUGUGAAGGUAAAAAGCAGAAAGACAGUAUCACUGGCGCCUUCACCUGUUGGCUUUGAGGACCAGCUCUAACUAGAAUCCAGCUGUCAGAAACAGCCUUUCAGCAGAGAGCAGACAAAAGCAAAAUUGCAUCCACAGUCCUACCUGGCAAGCUUUACAGCUGAGACCCAGCAAACCGUCGUUACUGGACAAAGCUCUCCUUCUAGUGAAUAUAUGGGCAUGGGACUGAUACGCUGGCUCUUGGCAUAGUGCCUUUUCAGCCAUAAUCUCCCUUCCUGCUCCGCUACACCCCUAAAUGCAUUUACUUUAAUGGUUUCUCUCAUUUUUUCUUUCUCCUCAGUCCUACAAGCUGGUGAGCUGGUACAAGAGAUGCUGUCAUGAGAUCUACUUUUUUUUUUUUUUUUUUUUUUUUCCCCUCCUUUUAACAUCAAAUUUCCCUGUGUAUUAAAAUACAAAUCCAUUAGGUUCAUAUCCAUGUGGUCAAUCUUCUUUCCAAGAUGGUUCCUGACUGACCCACAAUACAAUUCCUGAUAGUGAUGGUGAUUGGCAUAAAGCUCAUCCAACCACAGUAACUCUUGCACAGAAUAUAGGCUCUGUCCUGUCCUUCGUGACCCCUUAUGCAUUUCAGCUUUAAAUAUAAGUUUAGACUAGCACUUUUUAAAAAUCUGUUCUUAUUUUAAACUAAUCUCUGCCAUGAUUGUUAAAAUUGGAAGAUAAAAGCACACAAGAUGUCAGGUAAAAUUUAAAAUGAACAAGUUGUGCAAAUAUGUAAUGCACAGUAGACAAGAGACAGCUCAGAAAACCUGGCAUAGAGGCACCAGCUUUAAUUAGCUGUACCAAUUUAUGUUGUUCAAGAAUAUGGCCUGAUUCUUAAGAAAAUGUUUUGGAUGUGUUAGAAAAAUUGGGUGUAUAAAUUAUAGCUGCCCUUAUGACACUUUAACUUGAACGUCCAGUACUUCAUUCAGUCAACUACAAUAGGUCUCACUGUCCUUGGCAGAAUUACAGAGGUAAUAUUUUUUAACAUGGAUGAGCAGCUCUUGAACAAUUUCUCCAACGUAUUAAGCAUGAACAAGCUUUUCUUCAACAUCAGGUGUGCAUGUCUUCUUUCUGCAUUCAUUUUUCAACAACACACAUAUUUAUUGUGGCCAUUACAGGGAGGGAAACUUCCCUUCCAAUAAAUGUUUUCUUCUCCUCCAUCCCUUUUAUGGGAACACCAUGAACGGAUGGAAUGAUCUUGUUUCAUAAGCCUGUCUUAUUUUGUUUAUAUAAUCAAAGUAAAUAUUCACUAUUGUUAAAGUAUAUUGCUGUGAAUUCUUUGUAGCUCACAAAUGAAGUUGCAGGCAAAAAUGAAGACAGGCUAAGAUAGAUACUCCACUAAAGACUUGAUUUUGCAGAUUCCUAUUGAUAAGAAACCUCACUAGUUUAAAGGGAGCUUACAGAACUCACAAAAUUGCAAGCUGAGCUAAAACACAAAAGUAGAAAAAGUUUGGGGGCCUUGAAAUAUCCUCUACUGACAGCUGGACAUAAAGGAUUUGUAAACUGAUGGAUUAAGAUGUAAGUAUCUUCCCCCUGUACUUGGCCCUGAUGAGGCCGCACCUCAAGUGCUGUGUUCAGUUCUGGGCCCCUCACUACCA
Molecule: long non-coding RNA, 2481 nt
Organism: Oxyura jamaicensis (ruddy duck)
Lineage: Eukaryota; Metazoa; Chordata; Aves; Anseriformes; Anatidae
Exons: 4
Source: RefSeq, a predicted model, not a curated record